This 68-nucleotide transfer RNA is filed under the name Marmota monax (woodchuck). It matches the Rfam family "tRNA". Rfam says of the family: Transfer RNA (tRNA) molecules are approximately 80 nucleotides in length. Their secondary structure includes four short double-helical elements and three loops (D, anti-codon, and T loops). Lineage: Eukaryota; Metazoa; Chordata; Mammalia; Rodentia; Sciuridae. The record is from Rfam by way of RNAcentral.
GUUGUGGCUCAGUGAUAGAACGCUUGCCUUGCACGCAUGAGGCACUGGGUUCAAUCCUCAGCACAACA